Molecule: long non-coding RNA, 532 nt
Organism: Phyllostomus discolor (pale spear-nosed bat)
Lineage: Eukaryota; Metazoa; Chordata; Mammalia; Chiroptera; Phyllostomidae
Exons: 3
Source: RefSeq, a predicted model, not a curated record
GGGCAAGUAGCAUCUGUCUUUUUUGUUUAUCACUGUCACCUAAAACCCAUCACUAGUAUCUGACAUAUUAUCAUAUAAUCAUAAUAAAUAUGAAUCAAUACAUAUUCAACUUUGCUAUCAAUUUGAUGUCAUCUAUAUUAUAACUCAUGCAAAGUCCUCAAAUUUCUGAUCCACUGAUAAAAUCCCUCUCUCUUGUCCUCACUUCUUUCUCAUUUUUCUAUUUUCUUAUCUUGCAGAUGGAUUUGGGAAAUGAGGGGAAGUAUACAAAUAUGCUUAUUUAUUCUGAAGCAGGUAUCAGUAAGUACCCUGAAAUAUUUUACUGUGGCAUUUGUCACUCCCAUUCAAAAUUUAGCUCCUACUUUAUAUUUUUCAAAUAAAUAAUUAUAUAGACAUACUCAAACUAAUCAAUAACAAAUACUCUGUAAGUUUUACUGUGAGCUACAAAUGAAUGUUUAAAAUCAUUAGCAUCAUUAAGAAAAACAAAUCAGAAUAUAAUAAAUAUACCUAUUUUUUUCAAAAUAAAUAAAGUUGU